Molecule: ribosomal RNA, 273 nt
Filed under: Schwanniomyces vanrijiae var. yarrowii
Lineage: Eukaryota; Fungi; Ascomycota; Pichiomycetes; Serinales; Debaryomycetaceae
Description: partial 26S ribosomal RNA
Rfam family: Eukaryotic large subunit ribosomal RNA
Source: RNAcentral
CCUCUAAGUCAGAAUCCAUGCUAGAAAGCGAUGAUUUUUGCCUCGCACAUUUUAGUUGGAUAAGAAUAAGGCUCUUCGAGUCGCUGAACCAUAGCAGGCUGGCAAUGGUACACUUAACGGAAAGGUUUUGUGUGCUUGCCGGCGAAUAGCAAUGUCAUAAUGCGCGGGGAUAAAUCCUUUGCAUACGACUUAAAUGUACAACGGAGUAUUGUAAGCAGUAGAGUAGCCUUGUUGUUACGAUCUGCUGAGAUUAAGCUUCAGUUGUCCGAUUUG